Molecule: ribosomal RNA, 320 nt
Filed under: uncultured soil bacterium
Lineage: Bacteria
Description: bacterial SSU rRNA
Rfam family: Bacterial small subunit ribosomal RNA
Source: RNAcentral
AGAACGAACGCUGGCGGCAUGCCUAAUACAUGCAAGUCGAACGAAGGCUUCGGCCUUAGUGGCGCACGGGUGCGUAACGCGUGGGAAUCUGCCCCUUGGUUCGGAAUAACAGUUGGAAACGACUGCUAAUACCGGAUGAUGACGAAAGUCCAAAGAUUUAUCGCCAAGGGAUGAGCCCGCGUAGGAUUAGCUAGUUGGUGAGGUAAAGGCUCACCAAGGCGACGAUCCUUAGCUGGUCUGAGAGGAUGACCAGCCACACUGGGACUGAGACACGGCCCAGACUCCUACGGGAGGCAGCAGUGGGAAUUUGGACAAUGGGG